AUGGCCGGCAGCGGCGCUUCUCCUUCUCCGGCGGCCGCCCCCACCUCGGACCUACAGUUCCGCUGCCCCGGCUGCCGCGGCCUUCACACCGUGCCCCCCGGCAUAACCGAGUUCAUCUGCCCCAGGUGCCGCAUGGGGCAGCGCCUCCCCCGAGCUCAUAUCCCCCGCCCCGCCAAGGCAUCCCCUGCUCCGCCUCCGCCUCCCACUCCUCCUCCUGAUGCUCCUCGGCCUCAGCCUCAGCCCACGCACCCCCCUCCUCCUCCCCCCUCCGCUUCCCUGCGCUCCGGCCCGCGAGCGCAGGACGUUGACCGCACAAAGAUCCAGCUCCCCUGCCCGUGCUGCAAGGCCAUCCUCAACGUGCCGCACGACCUCGCCGGCUUCCGCUGCCCGCACUGCAACGUCGACAUCCCCAAGAUCCAGCAUUCCCUUGCCCCUGCCACCCCUGGAUUCGUCCCUCCACCUCCGCCGGCGCCUCCAGUUCAGAUGCCGCACAUGCCGUUCCUGCCGAUGGCCCCGCCGUCCGAACCACCUGAGGAUAUCAAUGAGAUGUUUCUGCAGCUAUCCCUUGGUCUUCCUCAUCCGGAUCCAGCGGUAGAGACUCCAUCUUUGUCAGUGGUGCAACCUCGUGAACCUACUUACAGUUUGACGAUUAUGGAUGAAUUUACAAAGGCAUUGUGUCGCUCACAAAUUGGAGCAACAGUGUAUGCUUGUCAGACGGGAUCCAAACCACCCCUGCCAUUUCAGUAUUUGAAAGACAUCACAAGCAACUUUAGUAAUGAUCGAAUACUUGGCAAAGGUGGUUUUGGUGUGGUAUAUAAGGGUCUGCUGGAAAAUGGGGAAAUAAUUGCAGUGAAGAAACUUUUACAUACAUUGCCGGACUCAGAGACACAAUUUGAGAACGAGGUUAAUCUUCUAAUGAAACUAGACCACCAAAAUAUUGUGCGACUACUAGGCUACUGCUAUGAAACACGUCGUGUACAUACGCCUCAUGAAGGAGAUUUCGUUUUUGUUUGGAACACUGAAAGUUUGCUUUGCUUGGAAUGUUUGCCUAAAGGAAGUCUUAACAGUUACAUUUCAGAUGCAUCUUCUGGACUUGAUUGGCACACAUGCUGCAAAAUAAUUGAGGGGAUUUCCUUUGGUCUACAGUACCUUCACGAGCACCCUAAUGUGCCCAUUAUUCACCUGGACCUAAAACCUGCGAACAUAUUGCUUGAUGGAAAUAUGGUGCCGAAAAUUACAGACUUUGGUCUGUCAAGAUUGUUUGAUCAAAGUCGAACUAUGCAUACCAAAAAUAACAUUGGGACAAGAGGUUACAUGCCACCAGAGUAUGUUGACAGAGGUAUAAUCACACCUAUGUCAGACAUAUUCAGUUUGGGUGUAAUAAUCAUGGAGGUAAUAACAGGACACAGGGACUACCCAUAUGAUAUUAAAAAAAGUUCGGAGGACUUCAUCGAGCGUGAACUUUUAAAAUGGAGAAAUAGGCUGCAAGAAGAACCAGAGUGUACAUCGCUAGAAACAGAUUGCCAACAAAUACAAAGAUGCCUUCAGAUAGGUCUAAUCUGUGUGAAUCCUGAGCGGAUCAAAAGGCCUACAAUGAAUAAAGUUGUCGAUAUGCUUCAAGGGUUGGAAAGUAUGAACUGGUACAUUAGCAACGAAUUAACAUUGCCUAAAGACCAUGUUUGA
Molecule: ribosomal RNA, 1683 nt
Filed under: Triticum aestivum (bread wheat)
Lineage: Eukaryota; Viridiplantae; Streptophyta; Magnoliopsida; Poales; Poaceae
Description: partial small subunit ribosomal RNA
Source: RNAcentral